CCUACGGGGGGCAGCAGUGAGGAAUAUUGGUCAAUGGACGAGAGUCUGAACCAGCCAAGUAGCGUGAAGGAUGACUGCCCUAUGGGUUGUAAACUUCUUUUAUAUGGGAAUAAAACGUUCCACGUGUGGGAUUUUGUAUGUACCAUAUGAAUAAGGAUCGGCUAACUCCGUGCCAGCAGCCGCGGUAAUACGGAGGAUCCGAGCGUUAUCCGGAUUUAUUGGGUUUAAAGGGAGCGUAGGUGGAUUGUUAAGUCAGUUGUGAAAGUUUGCGGCUCAACCGUAAAAUUGCAGUUGAACUGGCAGUCUUGAGUACAGUAGAGGUGGGCGGAAUUCGUGGUGUAGCGGUGAAAUGCUUAGAUAUCACGAAGAACUCCGAUUGCGAAGGCAGUUCACUGGACUGCAACUGACACUGAGGCUCGAAAGUGUGGGUAUCAAACAGGAUUAGAUACCCUAGUAGUC
RNAcentral lists this ribosomal RNA (459 nucleotides) under uncultured bacterium. Its description in RNAcentral is "partial 16S ribosomal RNA". It matches the Rfam family "Bacterial small subunit ribosomal RNA", at positions 338 to 795 of the family's 1533-position model. The record is from RNAcentral.